AAUAAAUCCCUCAUCUUAUAUAUUAUUAUUGUAACAGGCCAAUUUUGUCCGGCCCACCAUAAACCAAAAAAUAAUAAAAUAAAUAAAACCAAAUAAAUAAAAGUUCAAGUCCAAUUGCAAAGCCCAAAUACAAAAAAGGCCCAAUGGCCCAAAAACCUAAACUAGUUUCAGAAAAGUCAGAAACCCUAGGGUUUCUAGCGACGCUCCUCUCCUCGAUCACGCCACCCGAGGCCCCUCAUCCCGAGGUCUGCCCUUUCUGCUGCCAUUUCGCCAAAAUGGCAAGGGCCUGCUUCUUCUAUCGUCAUUGACUACGCACCGCCACCUACAAAGAGAAAGAAACAAAGACAACAAAAACAACAAGAAAAUUCAAAAAAAUAUAUAAUAAAUAGUGUAUAAUGGCUACAAAAGCCAUGGAAGCAGAUUGUAUUCGGACUGAUUUUUUUAAAGGUAGAAAUCAGAAAGCAAAACUUAAAGAAAUUUUUAAAAAGGUGAUUUUUUUAGAUAUGUUAUUUUUAUUUUUUAUUUUUAAAAAACAUAAAAAGGAAAAAAGGAAAAGGGUUAAAAAAGUUACCAUGCCGUUUCAUGUCUCACCACAGUGAGUGGGCGAGGACCCCGCCUCUGAAUCACCUUUGGUUCGCCGGAGGCUACGUCGAAAACGGGGAUGAUGGGAACCCUUGGAAACGCAGAGAACCGAGAGGGUUUUUUUUGUUUUUGGUUUUUGGUUUUUAGUGGGUUUUCAGAAGUUUUGACCUCAGAU
Molecule: long non-coding RNA, 757 nt
Filed under: Gossypium barbadense (sea-island cotton)
Lineage: Eukaryota; Viridiplantae; Streptophyta; Magnoliopsida; Malvales; Malvaceae
Description: long non-coding RNA (GBAR_LNC018205)
Source: RNAcentral